UGAAUACGAGAUGCUACGGCGUCGAAGCAGUCUAUGUCAUACUUCCAAGAAAAGCUCGCACUGUCAUAAACAAAUAAUGCCUGUACCAUAACCGACACAGGUGGGUAGGUAGAGUAUACUAAGGGGCGCGAGAUAACUCUCUCUAAGGAACUCGGCAAAAUGACUCCGUAACUUCGGGAGAAGGAGUGCCUUAUUUAUAAGGUUGCAAUAACAAGAUCCAAGCAACUGUUUAUCAAAAACACAGGUCUCCGCUAAGUCGUAAGACGAUGUAUGGGGGCUGACGCCUGCCCAGUGCCAGAAGGUUAAAGAAGUUGGUUAGCAUUCGCGAAGCUGAUAACUGAAGCCCUGGUGAACGGCGGCCGUAACGAUAACGGUCCUAAGGUAGCGAAAUUCCUUGUCGGGUAAGUUCCGACCCGCACGAAAGGCGUAAUGAUUUGGAUACUGUCUCGGAGAGGGGCUCGGUGAAAUAGACUUGUCUGUGAAGAUGCGGACUACCUGCACCAGGACAGAAAGACCCUAUGAAGCUUUACUGUAACUUGAGAUUGAAAUUGGACUUUACUUGCGCAGUAUAGGUGGGAGGCGUUGAUAAUAUUCUUGCGGGAUUAUUUGAGCCAUCAGUGAGAUACCACUCUUGUAAUGUUAGAUUUCUAACUUUGUAUCAUUAUCUGGUCAAAGGACAGUUUCAGGCGGGCAGUUUACUGGGGCGGUCGCCUCCUAAACGGUAACGGAGGCGCACAAAGGUUUCCUCUGAACGGGUAGAAAUCGUAUCUAGAGUGUAAAGGCAUAAGGAAGCUUGACUGUGAGACCUACAAGUCGAGCAGGGACGAAAGUCGGUCUUAGUGAUCUGACGGUGCUGAGUGGAAAGGCCGUCACUCAACGGAUAAAAGUUACUCUAGGAUAACAGGCUGAUCUCCCUAAGAGUUCACAUCGACGGGGAGGUUUGGCACCUCGAUGUCGGCUCAUCGCAUCCUGGGGCGGUAGUACGUCCCAAGGGUUGGGCUGUUCGCCCAUGAAAGCGGUACGCGAGCUGGGUUCAGAACGUCGUGAGACAGUUCGGUCCAUAUCCGGUGUAGGCGUUAGAAUAUUGAGAGGAGCCUUCUUUAGUACGAGAGGACCGAGAAGGACAUACCUCUGGUGUACCAGUUAUCGUGCCAACGGUAAACGCUGGGUAGCUAUGUAUGGAGUGGAUAACCGCUGAAAGCAUCUAAGUGGGAAGCCCACCUCAAGAUAAGUAUUCUCAUC
This 1242-nucleotide ribosomal RNA is filed under the name metagenome. Its description in RNAcentral is "bacterial LSU rRNA". It matches the Rfam family "Bacterial large subunit ribosomal RNA", at positions 1564 to 2818 of the family's 2925-position model. The record is from RNAcentral.